UGACUUCUGUUUGGUUCUUGUUGGUGACCGUUGGUUCUGAAGUAUGGGUUCUAAGUUGAUGACUGUGUUCUAUGGUUCCCGGUUCCAAAUUCAUGCUGAAGUUCUGAUCCUGCGCCUUGUGAUACAUAGCCAACCAGUCAUUGUUUCAUCAUUUUGCAUCAUAGCAUGUUCAUUUUCAAAAAAAAAAUAAUGCAAAAAAAAACAGAAAAAAAGUCAACCCGCAUAUGCA
RNAcentral lists this long non-coding RNA (229 nucleotides) under Lathyrus oleraceus (garden pea). RNAcentral's name for it is "Pisum sativum (pea) long non-coding RNA (PSAT_LNC031976)". The record is from RNAcentral. Lineage: Eukaryota; Viridiplantae; Streptophyta; Magnoliopsida; Fabales; Fabaceae.